Non-coding RNA from Hypoxylon fuscum, 90 nucleotides. Lineage: Eukaryota; Fungi; Ascomycota; Sordariomycetes; Xylariales; Hypoxylaceae. The record is from the annotation of a GenBank genome assembly.
UCCGAAUUGGGGGAGUGGCUAACAUAUGACGCUCUCGUGUCUAAACAACAUUGGGCCGUCAAGCACGGGGUUCGAUUCCCCGAUUCGGAG